RNAcentral lists this small nucleolar RNA (109 nucleotides) under Caenorhabditis brenneri. Its description in RNAcentral is "snoRNA CBN33981". It matches the Rfam family "Caenorhabditis snoRNA ceN113". The record is from Rfam by way of RNAcentral. Lineage: Eukaryota; Metazoa; Nematoda; Chromadorea; Rhabditida; Rhabditidae.
CAGCUAAUGAUGUCCUGCGAAAACAACACAAACUUACUACAACCUGAUCUUAUUUGAAAGGGUAUUGGAGACAGUACUAACCCGUGUGAACUAUAUCGAUCUGAAGCUA